This 1649-nucleotide long non-coding RNA is filed under the name Calidris pugnax (ruff). RNAcentral's name for it is "lncRNA (ENSCPUG00000000328.1)". The record is from RNAcentral. Lineage: Eukaryota; Metazoa; Chordata; Aves; Charadriiformes; Scolopacidae.
CUCUUCCUCCUUCUCCUUCUUACUUCUCUUCCUCUUCUUUCUUCUCCUCUUCCUCCUUUCUCCUUCUCCUCUUUCUCCUCCUCUUCCUCCUUCUCCUCCUCUUCCUCCUUUCUCCUCCUCUUCCUCCUCUUCCUCUUCUUCCUCCUCCUCCCCCGUUUCUAUGCCAAGCUGUUCCCAGCAGGUGGAUUAUGACAUUGGCAGCGCCCCUUCUUACAGGAGUGAUGACCAGAUACCUGCUAAUGAAGUGUUCAUCACUAAUGCCAGGUCUCACGGUAAUCAGGAAAAGGCAAAAUUUAAUGACGAGAAAGGACCUCCUCUUCCUCCUUCUCCUCCUCUUCCUCCUUCUCGUCCUUCUCCUCCUCCUUCUCCUCUUCUUCCUCCUCCUCCUUCUCCUCCUCUUCCUCCUUCUUCUUCUCCUUCUUUCUCCUCCUCAUUCUCCUUCUCCUCUUCCUCCUCCUUCUCCUCCUCCUUCUUCUUCUCUUCUUCCUCUUUCUCCUUCUCCUUCUCCUGCUCUUCCUCCUUUCUCCUCCCUCUCCUCUUCCUCCUCUUCUUCCUCCUCCUCCUCCUCCUCCUUCUUCUCCUUCUCCUUUCUCCUUCUCCUUCUCCUCCUCUUCUUCCUCCUUCUCCUCCUCUUCCUACUUCUCCUCCUCUUCCUCCUCGUUCUCCUUCUCCUCUUCCUCCUUCUCCUUCUCCUCUUCCUCCUCUUCUUCCUCCUUCUCCUUCUUUCUCCUCUUCCUCCUUCCCCUCUUCCUCCUCCUCUUCCUCUUCAUCCUCCUCCUUCUCUUCCUCCUCCUCCUCCUCUUCCUCCUUUCUCCUCCUCCUCCUUCUUCUCUUCUUCCUCUUUCUCCUUCUCCUUCUCCUUCUUUCUCCUCUUUCUCCUCCUCUUCCUCCUUUCUCCUUCUCCUCCUCUUUUUCCUCCUCCUUCUCCUUCUCCUCUUCCUCCUUCUCAUCCUUCUCCACCUCCUCCACCUCUUUCUCCUCCUCUUCCUCCCUCUCCUUUUCCUCCUCCUCCUCCUCUUCUUCCUCCUCCUCCUCCUCUUCCUCCUCUUCUUCCUCCUUCUCCUUCUCCUCCUCCUCCUCCUUUUCCUCUUCCUCCUCCUUUCUCCUUCUCCUUCUCCUCUUCUUCCUCCAUCUUCUCCUCCUCCUCUUCCUUCUCCUCGUUCUCCUCGUUCUCCUUCUCCUGCUCUUCCUCCUUCUCCUCCUCUUUCUCCUUCUCCUCCUCUUCCUCCUCUUUCUCCUCCUCCUCCUCUUCAUCCUCCUCCUUCUCUUCUUCCUCCUUCUCCUCCUCUUCCUCCUCCUCCUUGUUCUCCUUCUCCUCCUCCUCCUCUUCUUCCUCCUUCUCCUUCUCCUUCUUACUCCUCUUCCUCCCUCUCCUCUUCCUCCACUUCUUCCUCCUCUUCCUCUUCCUCCUCCUUCUCCUCCUCAUUCUCCUUCUCCUCCUCUUCCUUCUUCUCCUCUUCUUCCUCCUUCUCCUUCUUCUUCUCCUUCUCCUCCUCUUCCUCCUCCUCUUCUUCCUCCUUAUCCUCCGUCUCCUUUUCCUCCUUCUCCUCCUCCUCUUCCUCCUCUUCCUCCUUCUCUUCUUCCUCCUCCUUCUCCUCGUUCUCCUUCACCUCCUCCUCCUCUUCUCCUUCUCCUUCUCUUCCUUCUCC